GGGUCCAACCUCCCACCCGUGUUUAUCGUACCUUGUUGCUUCGGCGGGCCCGCCUCACGGCCGCCGGGGGGCAUCCGCCCCCGGGCCCGCGCCCGCCGAAGACACACAAACGAACUCUUGUCUGAAGAUUGCAGUCUGAGUACUUGACUAAAUCAGUUAAAACUUUCAACAACGGAUCUCUUGGUUCCGGCAUCGAUGAAGAACGCAGCGAAAUGCGAUAAGUAAUGUGAAUUGCAGAAUUCAGUGAAUCAUCGAGUCUUUGAACGCACAUUGCGCCCCCUGGUAUUCCGGGGGGCAUGCCUGUCCGAGCGUCAUUGCUGCCCUCAAGCACGGCUUGUGUGUUGGGCUCUCGCCCCCCGCUUCCGGGGGGCGGGCCCGAAAGGCAGCGGCGGCACCGCGUCCGGUCCUCGAGCGUAUGGGGCUUCGUCACCCGCUCUGUAGGCCCGGCCGGCGCCCGCCGGCGAACACCAUCAAUCUUAACCAGGUUGACCUCGGAUCAGGUAGGGAUACCCGCUGAACUUAAGCAUAUCAAUAAGCGGAGGAA
RNAcentral lists this ribosomal RNA (544 nucleotides) under Penicillium oxalicum. RNAcentral describes it as "eukaryotic LSU rRNA". The stretch from base 161 to 314 matches the Rfam family "5.8S ribosomal RNA". The record is from RNAcentral. Lineage: Eukaryota; Fungi; Ascomycota; Eurotiomycetes; Eurotiales; Aspergillaceae.